This 288-nucleotide ribosomal RNA is filed under the name Salmonella enterica. RNAcentral's name for it is "partial 23S ribosomal RNA". It matches the Rfam family "Bacterial large subunit ribosomal RNA", at positions 2655 to 2925 of the family's 2925-position model. The record is from RNAcentral. Lineage: Bacteria; Pseudomonadati; Pseudomonadota; Gammaproteobacteria; Enterobacterales; Enterobacteriaceae. RNAcentral also lists the same sequence under 1 other name.
UGGAGAACUGAGGGGGGCUGCUCCUAGUACGAGAGGACCGGAGUGGACGCAUCACUGGUGUUCGGGUUGUCAUGCCAAUGGCACUGCCCGGUAGCUAAAUGCGGAAGAGAUAAGUGCUGAAAGCAUCUAAGCACGAAACUUGCCCCGAGAUGAGUUCUCCCUGAGACUUUAGGUCUCCUGAAGGAACGUUGAAGACGACGACGUUGAUAGGCCGGGUGUGUAAGCGCAGCGAUGCGUUGAGCUAACCGGUACUAAUGAACCGUGAGGCUUAACCUUACAACGCCGAAG